RNAcentral lists this ribosomal RNA (1361 nucleotides) under metagenome. Its description in RNAcentral is "bacterial LSU rRNA". It matches the Rfam family "Bacterial large subunit ribosomal RNA", at positions 1574 to 2925 of the family's 2925-position model. The record is from RNAcentral.
UGUCUACGGACAUGAAGUAACCGAUACCACGCUUCCAGGAAAAGCCACUAAGCUUCAGUUUGAAUUAAACCGUACCGCAAACCGACACAGGUGGGCAGGAUGAGAAUUCUAAGGCGCUUGAGAGAACUCGGGAGAAGGAACUCGGCAAAUUGAUACCGUAACUUCGGGAGAAGGUAUGCCCUCUAAGGUUAAGGACUUGCUCCGUAAGCCCUGGAGGGUCGCAGAGAAUAGGUGGCUGCGACUGUUUAUUAAAAACACAGCACUCUGCUAACACGAAAGUGGACGUAUAGGGUGUGACGCCUGCCCGGUGCUGGAAGGUUAAUUGAAGAUGUGAGAGCAUCGGAUCGAAGCCCCAGUAAACGGCGGCCGUAACUAUAACGGUCCUAAGGUAGCGAAAUUCCUUGUCGGGUAAGUUCCGACCCGCACGAAUGGCGUAACGAUGGCCACACUGUCUCCUCCCGAGACUCAGCGAAGUUGAAGUGGUUGUGAAGAUGCAAUCUACCCGCUGCUAGACGGAAAGACCCCGUGAACCUUUACUGUAGCUUUGCAUUGGACUUUGAAGUCACUUGUGUAGGAUAGGUGGGAGGCUUUGAAGCAGAGACGCCAGUCUCUGUGGAGCCGUCCUUGAAAUACCACCCUGGUGUCUUUGAGGUUCUAACCCAGACCCGUAAUCCGGGUCGGGGACCGUGCAUGGUAGGCAGUUUGACUGGGGCGGUCUCCUCCCAAAGAGUAACGGAGGAGUUCGAAGGUUACCUAGGUCCGGUCGGAAAUCGGACUGAUAGUGCAAUGGCAAAAGGUAGCUUAACUGCGAGACCGACAAGUCGAGCAGGUGCGAAAGCAGGACAUAGUGAUCCGGUGGUUCUGUAUGGAAGGGCCAUCGCUCAACGGAUAAAAGGUACUCCGGGGAUAACAGGCUGAUUCCGCCCAAGAGUUCAUAUCGACGGCGGAGUUUGGCACCUCGAUGUCGGCUCAUCACAUCCUGGGGCUGUAGUCGGUCCCAAGGGUAUGGCUGUUCGCCAUUUAAAGUGGUACGUGAGCUGGGUUUAAAACGUCGUGAGACAGUUUGGUCCCUAUCUGCAGUGGGCGUUGGAAGUUUGACGGGGGCUGCUCCUAGUACGAGAGGACCGGAGUGGACGAACCUCUGGUGUACCGGUUGUAACGCCAGUUGCAUAGCCGGGUAGCUAAGUUCGGAAGAGAUAAGCGCUGAAAGCAUCUAAGCGCGAAACUCGCCUGAAGAUGAGACUUCCCUUGCGGUUUAACCGCACUAAAGAGUCGUUCGAGACCAGGACGUUGAUAGGUGGGGUGUGGAAGCGCGGUAACGCGUGAAGCUAACCCAUACUAAUUGCUCGUGAGGCUUGACU